UACGGGGGGGGCAAGCGUUGUUCGGAAUUACUGGGCGUAAAGGGCUCGUAGGUGGCCAACUAAGUCGGACGUGAAAUCCCUCGGCUUAACCGGGGAACUGCAUCUGAUACUGGAUGGCUUGAGUUCGGGAGAGGGAUGCGGAAUUCCAGAUGUAGCGGUGAAAUGCGUAGAUAUCUGGAGGAACACCGGUGGCGAAGGCGGCAUCCUGGACCGACACUGACGCUGAGGAGCGAAAGCCAGGGGAGCAAACGGG
This 253-nucleotide ribosomal RNA is filed under the name uncultured bacterium. RNAcentral describes it as "partial 16S ribosomal RNA". It matches the Rfam family "Bacterial small subunit ribosomal RNA", at positions 524 to 776 of the family's 1533-position model. The record is from RNAcentral.